GACCUGAUAGCACAGUUGGUAGUGCAUCUACUCAAAAUGCACCAUUGAUAGAAUACUAAGCAGAAGACCCCCGUUCGACUCGGGGUCAGGUCA
Non-coding RNA from Mycena metata, 93 nucleotides. The record is from the annotation of a GenBank genome assembly. NCBI's taxonomy places the organism in Eukaryota, Fungi, Basidiomycota, Agaricomycetes, Agaricales, Mycenaceae.